This 239-nucleotide ribosomal RNA is filed under the name uncultured bacterium. RNAcentral's name for it is "partial 16S ribosomal RNA". It matches the Rfam family "Bacterial small subunit ribosomal RNA", at positions 15 to 239 of the family's 1533-position model. The record is from RNAcentral.
GAUCAUGACUCAGGAUGAACGCUAGCUACAGGCUUAACACAUGCAAGUCGAGGGGCAGCAUGGUCUUAGCUUGCUAAGGCCGAUGGCGACCGGCGCACGGGUGAGUAACGCGUAUCCAACCUGCCUUACACUCUUGGACAGCCUUCUGAAAGGGAGAUUAAUACAAGAUGUUAUCAUGAGUAAGCAUUUCGUCAUGAUUAAAGGUUUUAACCGGGUUCGGUAAGAAUGGGAGGUGCGUU